Molecule: long non-coding RNA, 154 nt
Organism: Cyprinus carpio (common carp)
Lineage: Eukaryota; Metazoa; Chordata; Actinopteri; Cypriniformes; Cyprinidae
Exons: 2
Source: RefSeq, a predicted model, not a curated record
GUUAAAAUAUAGUACGUGGCCCCUUUAAGAGUUAGGUUCCGGUUGUUUUCCUUCAGUUCGCGGUAAGCGCAGCUGGGGAAAGAUCAAUGUUGAAAUUGUGGAGAAAGGCCACGGAUUGACACUUUUUCAUACAUUUUCCUUUUUAUUCAUUCAG